RNAcentral lists this ribosomal RNA (468 nucleotides) under uncultured bacterium. Its description in RNAcentral is "partial 16S ribosomal RNA". It matches the Rfam family "Bacterial small subunit ribosomal RNA", at positions 28 to 523 of the family's 1533-position model. The record is from RNAcentral.
GAUGAACGCUGGCGGCGUGCCUAACACGUGCAAGUCGAGCGAUUCUCUUCGGAGAAGAGCGGCGGACGGGUGAGUAACGCGUGGGUAACCUGCCCUGUACACACGGAUAACAUACCGAAAGGUAUGCUAAUACGAGAUAAUAUGCUUUUAUCGCAUGGUAGAAGUAUCAAAGCUCCGGCGGUACAGGAUGGACCCGCGUCUGAUUAGCUAGUUGGUAAGGUAACGGCUUACUAAGGCGACGAUCAGUAGCCGACCUGAGAGGGUGAUCGGCCACAUUGGAACUGAGACACGGUCCAAACUCCUACGGGGGGCAGCAGUGGGGAAUAUUGCACAAUGGGCGAAAGCUUGAUGCAGCAACGCCGCGUGAGCGAUGAAGGCCUUCGGGUCGUAAAGCUCUGUCCUCAAGGAAGAUAAUGACGGUACUUGAGGAGGAAGCCCCGGCUAACUACGUGCCAGCAGCCGCAGUAA